AUUUUACCCUACAUACCAUUGUGCUGUUCUGACAGUCAGAGUUUGUCUUCUUUACACAUCUUCUCUCUUCCUCUCUGUCUUUGUGACUAAAGUUCCAGCAGAAGCCUGAUGCCGGACCCUCACCCACGUGUGCCUGCAGUGUGACGGGGUCGCCCACAUAUGCUGCCUGUGUGGUCACACCGUGCGAGGUGAGCUGUUGAGGGUGAACGCAGGAGGGGACCCCCAGGGGCCCGUGGAGCAGAGAGAUCUGUGGAGAGGGCUGCAAGACAGAGAGCUGGAGGGUGGAGGAGAGCGUGGAGAGAGGGUUGGAGACUCUGACAUCUGUAGAAAAUGAAAAAGUUUCUAAAAUCCAGUGCGUUGACACAGAAAAGGAGCCAUCAUCCAAUACGCUGACAUGAUGUGAACUUUGACCUUUAGCAGUCGUGUCCAGGAACUUCACAGAGACAAAAGAGAGGUCCGGUCCUGCCAGACUAGGAAUCCCUGAAAAUCACAGAAAAACACAGUAUCAGCUGACCUGUGGGCUGGUCAGGACGUCCAGCCAAGUUUCCAGAAACCUCCACAACAAAAGUUCUCCCAGCCUGAACUCUGUCUGCAGGAGACGAGGACACAUUAACUCUGUGAAGAAACGGUCCCUCAGUCCUGUAGAGAGCCACAGUCGCCCGUCCAUCUCCAACAGGCAGAGUCAGAGCACUAAGAGAAAAGAAACAUCCAGAACAAGCUGCAGUGACUGUGCACAGUGGAGGACAAUUGUGAAAUGAUCUUAAAAACUAUUAUUUUCUAAUGUUUUACUAAGAUUGUAUGUGGAAAGAGUAACACAGAGUUUUUGAUCUUCAGUGACAGAAGUAGUGGUUGGAUACUGAAAGUAAAAACGUCCUCGGUGUGUCUCACCUCAGUCUUUGUCUCUGUGACUCUUCACUGGACGACGUGUUGAAACACUCGCUGAAGACCAAACCAUGUUUCAGGUGGUUGCCACACCAACAGCUCUCAAAGGUCAACGCUGCCACCUGGUACCUUCAAGCACAAAUAAUGGAGUGCCUCAGCUGCUGUCUUAUCCAAACUCACCCGUCAUCCAGACACCGCACGGAGCAGAGCAACGGGUCAAGGUCACGGGCUCCUUUGGGGGGAUCAAGCCUGAGAAGAGAGGAGUCGCUUGGGUGGACGCACCCGAGGAACCACGGCAGCCGUCCCUCCCUCUGGCCCCGGGUCUGGGCAGGAGGAUUCCGGGUAAAGCCCCAGCAGAGGCAGCGCUGUUUUCCCGCACCACGUUCUCCGCAUGCACGUUAAACCAGCACGACAGAAGCUGCAGUGAAAGAACAGGUUUAACUAUGAAAGUGUACAUAUGAAAACGUCGGGGCCUGAUUAUAAAGCCCUUUGCUUUAAUUC
This is a long non-coding RNA of Platichthys flesus (European flounder), 1383 nucleotides long. RefSeq lists it as uncharacterized. NCBI's taxonomy places the organism in Eukaryota, Metazoa, Chordata, Actinopteri, Pleuronectiformes, Pleuronectidae. The transcript has 5 exons. The record is from RefSeq and is a predicted model, not a curated record.